AUUUCAAUUUGGAAUGUUUACGAUUUUGAAGAUGUUUUAUAGGUAGUUAUUUAACAAGAUUCAUUAUAGUUCAUGAAAGUUCUUAAAUAUUUUUCAGACUAUCACCAAUAAUUCUUGCUACAUUCAUUCUACAAGAUAUGACUACGAUGGAUUCGUUCCAGUAACAUUGAAUUGGAUUCGUUGCCCUCGUAAUGUAUAUCCUUCGAUGUUUGUACGAGCGAAGUGUUCUUCUCGAUGCAAAGAUCCUGUUACUGGCAAUGACCUCAGCACACAACUGUACACAACUAAAGAGGUCAAAUACGCAAUGAGUUUUGAAGUUCGAAAAAGCAAUAGGGUUGAAACUGAGACUAUCACAUCAUUGCAGACUUGCAGAUGUGUGAAAAGAUAAUAUGUUUACAUAUUUAAGCGAGGACCAAUAGAUUGAUCAAACAGCAAAUACCAUUAAAAUAUAUUGCAUGCAUUUAACAUAUAUCAUUGCUUUUAAAAAAAUGUUUUUGUAUAAUUUUUACUAACAAAAAUGUUCUUACAGUUUGAUGGUUUUUAUUUUUUCGCAAGGCAAAUAAGCAAUUGUUAUAGUAAAUUGACCAAUUUUCAAUUUGACCACACAAUAUAUUUUUAUUCAAAUAAUCCACUAAAUAAUCGUUGACAGAGCUCUUCACCCUUUGUUACAUUAAUGAAUAUUAUUCUGAGGUUGUUUUAUUCUGGUUUUCUAUUAUGUGAAAAAAGUAAGGUGAAUAUUAACUACGCUAUAUUGGGAUAUUGUGUGCAUGCAUUCAUUUUCUUUUUUGCGUUUGCUUGAAUCAAUAAAUUUAUUAUGGUCAGCAACUG
This is a non-coding RNA of Styela clava, 828 nucleotides long. Lineage: Eukaryota; Metazoa; Chordata; Ascidiacea; Stolidobranchia; Styelidae. The record is from RefSeq and is a predicted model, not a curated record.